This 920-nucleotide ribosomal RNA is filed under the name uncultured Acidimicrobiia bacterium. RNAcentral describes it as "bacterial SSU rRNA". It matches the Rfam family "Bacterial small subunit ribosomal RNA", at positions 55 to 990 of the family's 1533-position model. The record is from RNAcentral. Lineage: Bacteria; Bacillati; Actinomycetota; Acidimicrobiia.
AUGCAAGUCGAACGAGGUCGCCUUCGGGCAAUGACCAAGUGGCGAACGGGUGCGUAACACGUGAGGAACCUGCCCCGAAGACUGGGACAACCACGGGAAACUGUGGCUAAUACCAGAUGCCCUCCGCUGAUCGCAUGAUCGGCAGAGGAAAUGCUCCGGCGCUUCGGGAGGGCCUCGCGGCCUAUCAGCUUGUUGGUGAGGUAACGGCUCACCAAGGCAUCGACGGGUAGCUGGUCUGAGAGGACGAUCAGCCACACUGGGACUGAGACACGGCCUAGACUCCUGCGGGAGGCAGCAGUGGGGAAUCUUGCGCAAUGGGCGAAAGCCUGACGCAGCAACGCCGCGUGGGGGAUGAAGGCUCUCGGGUUGUAAACCCCUUUCAGCAGGGACGAAAUUGACGGUACCUGAAGAAGAAGCCCCGGCCAACUACGUGCCAGCAGCCGCGGUGACACGUAGGGGGCGAGCGUUGUCCGGAAUUAUUGGGCGUAAAGAGCUCGUAGGCGGUUUAGUAAGUCAGAUGUGAAAGGUUGGGGCUCAACCCUAAGACUGCAUCCGAUACUGCUAUGACUAGAGUCCGGUAGAGGAGUGUGGAAUUCCUGGUGUAGCGGUGAAAUGCGCAGAUAUCAGGAGGAACACCGACGGCGAAGGCAGCACUCUGGGCCGGUACUGACGCUCAGGAGCGAAAGCGUGGGUAGCAAACAGGAUUAGAUACCCUGGUAGUCCACGCCGUAAACGUUGGGCACUAGGUGUGGGGCCUUAUCAACGGGUUCCGUGCCGUAGCUAACGCAUUAAGUGCCCCGCCUGGGGAGUACGGCCGCAAGGCUAAAACUCAAAGGAAUUGACGGGGGCCCCGCACAAGCGGCGGAGCAUGUUGCUUAAUUCGAGGCAACGCGAAGAACCUUACCUGGGUUUGACAUGUA